Molecule: ribosomal RNA, 253 nt
Filed under: uncultured bacterium
Lineage: Bacteria
Description: partial 16S ribosomal RNA
Rfam family: Bacterial small subunit ribosomal RNA
Source: RNAcentral
UACGGAGGGAGCAAGCGUUACUCGGAAUUAUUGGGCGUAAAGGGCGCGUAGGCGAUUUGAUAAGUCUCAUGUGAAAGCCCAGGGCCUAACCCUGGAAGGGCAUGGGAUACUGUUGAAUUUGAGUUCCGGAGAGGAAGGCAGAAUUCCCGGUGUAGCGGUGAAAUGCGUAGAUAUCGGGAGGAAUACCAGCGGCGAAGGCGGCCUUCUGAACGGAUACUGACGCUGAGGCGCGAAAGCCAGGGGAGCAAACGGG